GUCAGCAGCUAUAUCACCCAGCAACCCAGAACUGGCAACCCACUGAGGCUGAGCAGGUGUGAGCCAGGCCAGUACCAGGAUGGGAGACGUCCUGGGAAAAUCCAGGUUGCUGCUGGAA
RNAcentral lists this ribosomal RNA (118 nucleotides) under Lepisosteus oculatus (spotted gar). The record is from RNAcentral. Lineage: Eukaryota; Metazoa; Chordata; Actinopteri; Semionotiformes; Lepisosteidae.